RNAcentral lists this long non-coding RNA (580 nucleotides) under Ananas comosus (pineapple). Its description in RNAcentral is "long non-coding RNA (ACOM_LNC040256)". Lineage: Eukaryota; Viridiplantae; Streptophyta; Magnoliopsida; Poales; Bromeliaceae. The record is from RNAcentral.
GGUCUAGGCGGAGGUGGAGGUCAAGUCAAAGGUGGAGGUCGAUGGUGGUGAGGGAUGGCAGGGCGAUGUUUGACCAGGUCGAGAAGGAAGCGGGCGACGCCCACGUCGAGAUCGGAGGAAGAGGGCGGCGGCGGCAGAGGCGAAGAGGUAAAGGAAGCGGGCGACGCCCACGUCGAGAUCGGAGGAAGAGGGCGGCGGCGGCAGAGGCGAAGAGGUAAAGGAAGCGGGCGACGCCCACGUCGGGAUCGGAGAAAGAGAUCGGCGCGAAGUCGAGGGAAUGCGGGAUGGGAGAAGAGAGAGGGUGAGAGCAAAAUUAUAUGUCAAAAUAUUUACGAGUUAUUAUAUAUAUAACUUGAAAUAAUUUUAAAAAUAAAUGAGAUUUAAAAAAUAUAAAUAAUAGAAUUAAUGUUACAGUUACUAAAUAAGAUGUAGUUUUAGAAAGAAAGGUGAUCGAUCAUUAAAUAGUAACAAAUAAUAAGUUGAUUUGUAAAAUAUAAUGAGAAAAAAUAUGGUAAUAUGAGAAAGCUCUUUUUAGUAAGAAAUGACAACAACUAUAUAUGGAGCCUAUUUUGAAAAUAAG